RNAcentral lists this ribosomal RNA (464 nucleotides) under Vreelandella stevensii. RNAcentral's name for it is "partial 16S ribosomal RNA". It matches the Rfam family "Bacterial small subunit ribosomal RNA", at positions 338 to 795 of the family's 1533-position model. Lineage: Bacteria; Pseudomonadati; Pseudomonadota; Gammaproteobacteria; Oceanospirillales; Halomonadaceae. The record is from RNAcentral.
CCUACGGGGGGUGCAGUGGGGAAUAUUGGACAAUGGGCGAAAGCCUGAUCCAGCCAUGCCGCGUGUGUGAAGAAGGCCUUCGGGUUGUAAAGCACUUUCAGUGGGGAAGAAAGCCUUGGGGCUAAUACCCUCGAGGAAGGACAUCACCCACAGAAGAAGCACCGGCUAACUCCGUGCCAGCAGCCGCGGUAAUACGGAGGGUGCGAGCGUUAAUCGGAAUUACUGGGCGUAAAGCGCGCGUAGGCGGUCUGAUAAGCCGGUUGUGAAAGCCCCGGGCUCAACCUGGGAACGGCAUCCGGAACUGUCAGGCUAGAGUGCAGGAGAGGAAGGUAGAAUUCCCGGUGUAGCGGUGAAAUGCGUAGAGAUCGGGAGGAAUACCAGUGGCGAAGGCGGCCUUCUGGACUGACACUGACGCUGAGGUGCGAAAGCGUGGGUAGCAAACAGGAUUAGAUACCCUGGUAGUC